AGGAUUUUUAUUAGAAUUUAAUUUAAAAUUUAGGAUUUAUUUAGGAUUUGAUUUAGGAUUUGAUUAAGGAUCUAUGAUUUAAUCUAGGAUUUGACUUAAGAUUUAGAAUUUUUUUAGAUAAGAUUUAGGAUUUGAUUUAGGAUUUAGGAUUUGAUCUAGAGUUUGUUUUAUGGUUUAGGAGUUUUCUAGGGUUUGAUUUAGGAUUUGGUUUGGAAUUUAGGAUUUAUCUAAGAUUUAGUUUAAGGUCUAAGGUUUGAUCUAAGUUUUGAUUUAGAAUUUAGAAUUUGUCUGAGGCUUGAUUUAGGGUUUGAUUCAGGAUUUAAGAUUUGUCUAGGGUUUGAUUUAGAGUUUGAUUUAGGAUCUAUGAUUUGAUCUAAGAUUUAGUCUAGGAUUAAAGAUUUGUCUAGGAUUUGAUUGAAGUCUAGUAGGAUUUCAACUAGGAUUAAAUUAGAACUUGAUUGAGAUUUAUUUAAGAUUUAUUUGUGAUUAUUUUAAUAUUUUUUAAGGCUUCUUAAGGAUUCUUUUAAGAUUUAUUGUAUAUUUUUUUCAACUCCUUUAAGAUUUUUUAUUGUUUCUUUUGUAAUUUCUUUAA
RNAcentral lists this long non-coding RNA (592 nucleotides) under Physcomitrium patens. RNAcentral's name for it is "long non-coding RNA (PPAT_LNC000037)". Lineage: Eukaryota; Viridiplantae; Streptophyta; Bryopsida; Funariales; Funariaceae. The record is from RNAcentral.